Molecule: ribosomal RNA, 465 nt
Filed under: Vreelandella stevensii
Lineage: Bacteria; Pseudomonadati; Pseudomonadota; Gammaproteobacteria; Oceanospirillales; Halomonadaceae
Description: partial 16S ribosomal RNA
Rfam family: Bacterial small subunit ribosomal RNA
Source: RNAcentral
CCUACGGGAGGCUGCAGUGGGGAAUAUUGGACAAUGGGCGAAAGCCUGAUCCAGCCAUGCCGCGUGUGUGAAGAAGGCCUUCGGGUUGUAAAGCACUUUCAGUGGGGAAGAAAGCCUUGGGGCUAAUACCCUCGAGGAAGGACAUCACCCACAGAAGAAGCACCGGCUAACUCCGUGCCAGCAGCCGCGGUAAUACGGAGGGUGCGAGCGUUAAUCGGAAUUACUGGGCGUAAAGCGCGCGUAGGCGGUCUGAUAAGCCGGUUGUGAAAGCCCCGGGCUCAACCUGGGAACGGCAUCCGGAACUGUCAGGCUAGAGUGCAGGAGAGGAAGGUAGAAUUCCCGGUGUAGCGGUGAAAUGCGUAGAGAUCGGGAGGAAUACCAGUGGCGAAGGCGGCCUUCUGGACUGACACUGACGCUGAGGUGUGAAAGCGUGGGUAGCAAACAGGAUUAGAUACCCGUGUAGUC